UGGAAGAAACAAAUGUAUCUGUAGCCAGAA
RNAcentral lists this non-coding RNA (30 nucleotides) under Mus musculus (house mouse). Lineage: Eukaryota; Metazoa; Chordata; Mammalia; Rodentia; Muridae. The record is from RNAcentral.